GUGGGCGUAGCUCAGUCUGGUUAGAGUGCUCGGAUGUGACCCGGGAGGUCGCGAGUUCGAUUCUCGCCGCUCACCCCA
Molecule: transfer RNA, 78 nt
Filed under: Pseudomonas phage UAntarctica
Lineage: Duplodnaviria; Heunggongvirae; Uroviricota; Caudoviricetes
Description: tRNA-His
Rfam family: tRNA
About the family: Transfer RNA (tRNA) molecules are approximately 80 nucleotides in length.
Source: RNAcentral